Molecule: transfer RNA, 63 nt
Filed under: Rhizobium aethiopicum
Lineage: Bacteria; Pseudomonadati; Pseudomonadota; Alphaproteobacteria; Hyphomicrobiales; Rhizobiaceae
Description: tRNA-OTHER
Source: RNAcentral
GUACUUCCAACAAUUCCCUUGGUAAGGGUGAGGUCGGUGGUUCAAUCCCACUCGGCAGCACCA